ACGAUGUUCCGCUGCAAUUAGAAGAUUGGUAAGAGCAUCUG
Non-coding RNA from Bacillus sp. SA1-12, 41 nucleotides. NCBI's taxonomy places the organism in Bacteria, Bacillati, Bacillota, Bacilli, Caryophanales, Bacillaceae. The record is from Rfam.